UAAAAAUUUGGUUUUGGUUUAAAGUUAGCGCUUAUCUUUUAGAAAUGCAUGAUUGUUUUAGCGAAGUUGUAAAGUAACAGGAAUUUAUUUUAUUAUAUUAUAAAUAUAAAAAAUUAAUUCUUCUCGAUAUUAGAAAAUUUGAUAAUGUUGAAUACAAGUUCAGUGUUGAAUAUUUAUAAAAUUAAGGAAACUUAGAUUUAGAAUAAGAAAAAAGAACUAGUAAAAAUUGUGCCAGCAUCUGCGGUUAGACAAAGAGUUCAAGUUAAUGAAACAUUAUGGGUAAUAUAGUUAUUAUUGGUAUAAAGUUAAAUUUCAAUAAAUAUGAGGGUGAAAUCUAUAUUAUAUAUUUUAUAUUAGAAAUCUAAAUUUAACUUUAUUUAUAAGAAGCUAUGAAAUUCUUUAAUAAAACUAGGAUUAGAUACCCUAUUAUUAAGAACAAAAAUUUAUUAACCAGAGUAUUACGAAUGCUAUGUUUAAUUUUAAUUAAAUAGAGCGGUUUAAAACUUAAAAAACUUGGCGGUGCUUAGUAUCUAUUCAGGGGGGCCUGGGCUAUGAUUUGAUAGUCCACGAUAUACCUUUCUUUUUUUGUUUGUUUGUAUACUUCCGUCUUAAGCUAAUCUUUAAGAGUGUUAUAAUUAGCUAAUAAAAAAUAAAUAUUUUUAGGUCAGGUCAUAGUGCAGCUUAUAAAAAAGUAGUUAUGGGUUUAUUUUUAAAUUGAAUAUAGUAUAAUUUUGCAAUAAAAUUAUAAUUAAAACUUGAUAGUAAGAUUGAUUUUAUGAAGAAUGGUCUGAAUAAGUUCACAGGCGUGCACAUAUCGCCCGUCACUCUCGUUGGUAUAAAUGAGAUAAGUCGUAACAUAGUAGAAGUAGUGGAAGCUGUUUCUA
RNAcentral lists this non-coding RNA (884 nucleotides) under Nuttallina californica. Lineage: Eukaryota; Metazoa; Mollusca; Polyplacophora; Chitonida; Tonicellidae. The record is from RNAcentral.